This 265-nucleotide long non-coding RNA is filed under the name Elaeis guineensis (African oil palm). RNAcentral's name for it is "long non-coding RNA (EGUI_LNC001844)". Lineage: Eukaryota; Viridiplantae; Streptophyta; Magnoliopsida; Arecales; Arecaceae. The record is from RNAcentral.
CCCCCUCUCUCCUCUAUGGGUAGACCCUUCAGUCGCCGUCGAUUGCCGGAGAUUUCCUCCGAUUUUCCCGUUUGAAGCCACGACUCCUCGAUCCAUGUUCGCCACGAUUGCACGCCGGUGGGGGUCACCGGAGGUUGUGGUAAGGUCUUCCUUCUCUCCCUCUCUUCUCUCCCUUCUUUUUCGUGCUUGUGAGCACGAUGGCCGGCGACGGGUGUCGCCGGAUUUAGUUGGAGAAGGAAACCCCCUGUUCGCCGCCUCUUUCCUC